AUAACCCCUUAACUCCCAUUUUAUCUCCAAACACCUUAAAAAAUGGGUGGGGUUAGCUAAUCCCACCUCAAAUAAAUUAUUCCGGAUUAGCUAACCCCACCUAACUCCACCAAACUCCAACCAAACAAUAUUUUCUAUUCAUAAUAACCCACUAUCUUUCUUAUCACACCUACUCCAACCAAUCAUUAUCUUCUUAUCCCAUCUACUCCAACCAAACACUAUUUUUCAUUAUUCUAGACUAACUCCAACCCCCAACCAAACACAAAAAAAUUUUAACCCCACUUUAACCCUGAACUUAACUCUAUCCCUGGAAUAGCUACUUUUUCCUUAACCCCGAACCAAACGGAGGCUAAAGGGUAAACUUGAAAUAUCAUUUAUGCGGUUUUAUAUUUUUUUAUUUUAAUACUCUGUGGUUUAAAGUGUAUCAAUUUAGUGUCAUUUGAUUUCAUUUUUAUCUUUUUAUCACCUUCUUCGUCAAUAUUUUGUUAAAUUAUAUAAAAAAAAACUUCAGAUAUCCUACUUAGAUUUAUUGAAUAUUUAUUUUACUACCUUUUAAUUUUAACUUCAUCAGUGAUUUAACGAAGAAAAUUAGUAAAACCGAUAAUAAAAAUAUAAAAAUAAAACGAUAUGUCAUUAAAUUGAUAUACUUUAAAUCACAGAGUAUUAAAAUAAAAAAAAUAUAUAACCAUAGGGUGGUAUUUAAAGUUUUUUUUUAAAAAAUAAAUAUAUGUA
RNAcentral lists this long non-coding RNA (732 nucleotides) under Ananas comosus (pineapple). RNAcentral's name for it is "long non-coding RNA (ACOM_LNC001514)". The record is from RNAcentral. Lineage: Eukaryota; Viridiplantae; Streptophyta; Magnoliopsida; Poales; Bromeliaceae.